UGCAUGCACCGGCUGUAGACGGAGGACCGACGACUGGAAGCCCCGAACUCUCUCCGCCAACCUCUGCAAAUUCCGGCGUCUCCGACCACCUUCUGGGCCGUUUGUGUUCCACGACGCCGGCAGCUUUCCGGCUCUUCUUGGCUUCGUCCGGGCUUUGUUAAUCACAAAUUGUUGGGUUGAAUUGCGUCGAAGCCAUCAGCUCCUCACUAGUCGAGUUUUGGCAGUGAGUUUGGCUCGGUUGUAGUUGAUUACCGAAGGUAUAAUUCCAAACUUUGAAUUGGAAGAUUGCUCUGGUGAUGAAUUCGAAAUUGUGGACUGAAGAGCUUUUGAAUUA
This is a long non-coding RNA of Rosa rugosa (rugosa rose), 334 nucleotides long. RefSeq lists it as uncharacterized. The record is from RefSeq and is a predicted model, not a curated record. The transcript has 2 exons. Lineage: Eukaryota; Viridiplantae; Streptophyta; Magnoliopsida; Rosales; Rosaceae.